UGGAGAGUUUGAUCCUGGCUCAGAUUGAACGCUGGCGGCAGGCCUAACACAUGCAAGUCGAACGGUAACAGGAAGCAGCUUGCUGCUUUGCUGACGAGUGGCGGACGGGUGAGUAAUGUCUGGGAAACUGCCUGAUGGAGGGGGAUAACUACUGGAAACGGUAGCUAAUACCGCAUAACGUCGCAAGACCAAAGAGGGGGACCUUCGGGCCUCUUGCCAUCAGAUGUGCCCAGAUGGGAUUAGCUAGUAGGUGGGGUAACGGCUCACCUAGGCGACGAUCCCUAGCUGGUCUGAGAGGAUGACCAGCCACACUGGAACUGAGACACGGUCCAGACUCCUACGGGAGGCAGCAGUGGGGAAUAUUGCACAAUGGGCGCAAGCCUGAUGCAGCCAUGCCGCGUGUAUGAAGAAGGCCUUCGGGUUGUAAAGUACUUUCAGCGGGGAGGAAGGCGAUGUGGUUAAUAACCGCGUCGAUUGACGUUACCCGCAGAAGAAGCACCGGCUAACUCCGUGCCAGCAGCCGCGGUA
This 528-nucleotide ribosomal RNA is filed under the name Cronobacter sakazakii. Its description in RNAcentral is "bacterial SSU rRNA". It matches the Rfam family "Bacterial small subunit ribosomal RNA", at positions 1 to 522 of the family's 1533-position model. Lineage: Bacteria; Pseudomonadati; Pseudomonadota; Gammaproteobacteria; Enterobacterales; Enterobacteriaceae. The record is from RNAcentral.